This 1232-nucleotide long non-coding RNA is filed under the name Papio anubis (olive baboon). Its description in RNAcentral is "lncRNA (ENSPANG00000047629.1)". The record is from RNAcentral. Lineage: Eukaryota; Metazoa; Chordata; Mammalia; Primates; Cercopithecidae.
UUUUAUCGCCUCACUGUAUCAUGCAUAGGUAACUUCUAUAUUUUACAGUUGCUUCUAGAAAGAAAGAGGAACAGACUAUAGAGAGGCCUUUCCACUUAUAAUUAGAGUAACAGUCAAAUGCCUUGCAUACUUAGAUUUUCUGUGUAUGAGACAUACUGGAGUGGACCAUGGGAAUAGAGACUCCUAUUUAGAGCAAGGAGAAGGUAUGAGUACUCGGGGAACUGUGAAGCCCUCAGCAGAAAGGAACAAAGCUAAGAGCCUUGGAGGUGUUCUCCACCCUCCAGAACUGUGGCACCAUGGAGGCUGGUGCUCCAAACCUCAUAUUACCAUCGUAUUGGAUUGUGCCCCUGUGUCAGACCUGUAGUGAGUUGACUCUUUUUGUGGGGCUGGGAAAACACCCAUGCUGGUUGAAAGUAAGGGGGUAAUGGAGAGCCCUUGAAACAGGACAUUCAGUGAAAUAAGAGGGCUGACGAGCUCCAAACACAAGUUGAGUUUGAAAUAACUUCCACCACAAAGGCAGACACACGCUAGGACUGAGGUCAUAAUAAAGAAGUUUAUUUAAACCUGGAAGGAUCACUGUUUUGCCCAGCCUAAGAUGUUGGUUGCCAUCGUAUAACUCCUCCUUUCUAAUUAAAAAAGUGACAUUUCAGAACCAAAUAGUGCUAUACGUAUGCAUAGUCAGAACUUCACUAGUUUAUGUGCAGAGUAAUGAAAGCUAGUUUCUCCAAAAAAGUAAAUUUCAAAUUGUGUCUCCCUCUCUGACUGUAUUCUUUAUCAUCCUCUAGUUCACCCACUAAUGAAUUGACAACAGCAAACCCAGAGGCACGUAUCAAUGAAAGGUGAGUUAUAUUUAGAUAAAUAAAGACACACAUAUGCAUAACUGUGCAUAGAAGUAGUCACACACCCAGACACAUAAACAAAAUAUAUCCAUCCAUCCAUCCAUCCAUGCAUCCAUCCAUCCCCACUUCUCUGAACACACGUCCACUUACAAACCCAUGCACACAAUGGAAACAUACAAUAAGGAGACAGAUGGACGGACAUUUGUGGAGUUUAUUCUGAGAAGCCUGCAUGGCCACAGAGAGUGGUUUUUAACAGGGUCUGCAAUUCGUCUCAUGGUAGCCUUUGUAGGUAACAUUGCAUCAUUUCCUAAUGCAGUUGUAUACAAAGGAGCCAGUCCUAGGAGAGCUGCUGCUUCUUGUUAGUGUAUUUGUCACCCUAGUUCCUAGUAAGCA